RNAcentral lists this ribosomal RNA (1363 nucleotides) under uncultured bacterium. RNAcentral describes it as "16S ribosomal RNA". It matches the Rfam family "Bacterial small subunit ribosomal RNA". The record is from RNAcentral.
AGAGUUUGAUCCUGGCUCAGAACGAACGCUGGCGGCGUGGAUAAGACAUGCAAGUCGAACGAGAGAAUUGCUAGCUUGCUAAUAAUUCUCUAGUGGCGCACGGGUGAGUAACACGUGAGUAACCUGCCCCCGAGAGCGGGAUAGCCCUGGGAAACUGGGAUUAAUACCGCAUAGUAUCGAAAGAUUAAAGCAGCAAUGCGCUUGGGGAUGGGCUCGCGGCCUAUUAGUUAGUUGGUGAGGUAACGGCUCACCAAGGCGAUGACGGGUAGCCGGUCUGAGAGGAUGUCCGGCCACACUGGAACUGAGACACGGUCCAGACACCUACGGGUGGCAGCAGUCGAGAAUCAUUCACAAUGGGGGAAACCCUGAUGGUGCGACGCCGCGUGGGGGAAUGAAGGUCUUCGGAUUGUAAACCCCUGUCAUGUGGGAGCAAAUUAAAAAGAUAGUACCACAAGAGGAAGAGACGGCUAACUCUGUGCCAGCAGCCGCGGUAAUACAGAGGUCUCAAGCGUUGUUCGGAAUCACUGGGCGUAAAGCGUGCGUAGGCUGUUUCGUAAGUCGUGUGUGAAAGGCGCGGGCUCAACCCGCGGACGGCACAUGAUACUGCGAGACUAGAGUAAUGGAGGGGGAACCGGAAUUCUCGGUGUAGCAGUGAAAUGCGUAGAUAUCGAGAGGAACACUCGUGGCGAAGGCGGGUUCCUGGACAUUAACUGACGCUGAGGCACGAAGGCCAGGGGAGCGAAAGGGAUUAGAUACCCCUGUAGUCCUGGCAGUAAACGGUGCACGCUUGGUGUGCGGGGAAUCGACCCCCUGCGUGCCGGAGCUAACGCGUUAAGCGUGCCGCCUGGGGGAGUACGGUCGCAAGAUUAAAACUCAAAGAAAAUUGACGGGGACCCGCACAAGCGGUGGAGUAUGUGGCUUAAUUCGAUGCAACGCGAAGAACCUUACCUGGGCUUGACAUGUAAUGAACAACAUGUGAAAGCAUGCGACUCUUCGGAGGCGUUACACAGGUGCUACAUGGCCGUCGUCAGCUCGUGUCGUGAGAUGUUUGGUUAAGUCCAGCAACGAGCGCAACCCCUGUUGCCAGUUACCAGCACGUGAAGGUGGGGACUCUGGCGAGACUGCCCAGACCAACUGGGAGGAAGGUGGGGACGACGUCAGGUCAGUAUGGCCCUUAUCCCCAGGGCUGCACACGUACUACAAUGCCCAGUACAGAGGGGGCCGAAGCCGCGAGGCGGAGGAAAUCCUAAAAACUGGGCCCAGUUCGGACUGUAGGCUGCAGCCCGCCUACACGAAGCCGGAAUCGCUAGUAAUGGCGCAUCAGCUACGGCGCCGUGAAUACGUUCCCGGGUCUUGUACUCAC